RNAcentral lists this long non-coding RNA (1307 nucleotides) under Varroa destructor (honeybee mite). RNAcentral describes it as "uncharacterized LOC111244231, transcript variant X2". The record is from RNAcentral. Lineage: Eukaryota; Metazoa; Arthropoda; Arachnida; Mesostigmata; Varroidae.
AACAAAGUGAAUACAACUAUAUGUGAUGGAACUCUAACCCGCAUAUGCUGGGAAUCGUUCAUGUCCAUCACCUGUUCGAUCGUAGUAAAGGUGUCAUCCCCACGCUCUCUCGAAUACCAUUCGCCCUGGACUGUCUGCGAGAUAUGACAUCGUGGGUCGUAAUCGUAGUUUCCACCAAGCAGACUGGACGAGAAGGCUUCAGCGGUGAAGUUCGCGGUCGAACUGAAACUACAAUCGAAGUGGUAAUGCGGAGUACACCAAAAUAACGAAAAACAGAAGAUACCAAGUGAUCAGACAAGAUCUCGAAUAUAAAAAUUUCCAGGUGAGCAUGUUACAGAACGAACUCGUGUGGCACGUGAGGCGAGCCGUACAAACUGUAUUGCAUAGUCGUAGAGGAAUCACAGAGGGGUUUAGAUAUGAAGACAAGCCUCUUCCGGAUGUCUCCGCGCAGCGACGUCAAAAAGAAGCCAGCCUUAAGAUGACGCUGGUCUGUGAAAAAAACACAAUUUGACCUCUUCGAGAAGAAAGUAGUAAAUUUCGUUCUGCGCGGACAAAUCACUCAGAUGAAGACCGACACGGCCAUUUUAACUAAUAGCGAAGAAAUGACACUGGAAUUAAAGAUCGCUGAAAUGUAUAAAAAGCUGCAACUUUGUGCUGACGAGGUUUAUAUGAACUUUGGUGCUGGACGAAAGUGACCUGAAAAACGAAGUUUUGAGAAGCAUACCGCAGCAAACAUCAAAUAGUGCUGGAACUUAAAGGGAGGCACAUCAUAAAAAUCUAAAACACCUUCCUUAAAUAUGUCAGGCGGGGGAACAUGCUCCUUAAAACCUGCCACCAGCAGUCACUCAAAUGGGCACAGAAACCGUCCUAGCCGAGAUCCAGAAGCUAAUAAAAAAGCUUCCGGCUGAUACCGGAAGGCUACGAAGAAUAAAGGACAUGAGAGUUUAGACACGUGCUUGAUCACCCACAAGUAAAUAUAUGAUGAUAUUCGAGAACAGCUGGAAAUUCGUCAGCGGUUUAAACGUCGACAGCAAAAUAUUGACCUAUACAUUAUUUGGGCCUAAAUGACCUAGGAUAUUGAUAGACCUCUCUUCUCUGCUGAGCAGGAUUUACUCUAAAUCGAAAGCUGACGAUUCACUGUCCGCAUCAAUGCAAGCAUGACAAAUGCCCGUUUGACGUUAAAGAAAAUUCCUCAAGGACGAACUUCUACAGCUAAACCCCUAAAUGAAUGCAUCAGCAAGCGUCUAUGGAAAAUAUGAGUGGAAAUAGUGAUGACUCUAUAAAUACAGGGCUAUCGAAAUCUCUUA